GACGAACGCUGGCGGCGUGCUUAACACAUGCAAGUCGAACGGAAAGGCCCUGCUUUUGUGGGGUGCUCGAGUGGCGAACGGGUGAGUAACACGUGAGUAACCUGCCCCUGACUUUGGGAUAACUUCAGGAAACUGGGGCUAAUAUCGGAUAGGAGCUCUUGCUGCAUGGUGGGGGAUGGAAAGAUUCGGCGGUUGGGGAUGGACUCGAGGCUUAUCAGCCUGUUGGUGGGGUAGUGGCUUACCAAGGCUUCGACGGGUAGCCGGCCUGGGAGGGUGACCGGCGACAAUGGGACUGAGGUACGGAGCAGACUCCUACGGGAGGCAACAGUGGGGAGUAUUACGCAAUGGGGGGAAGCCUGAUGCAGCAACGCCGCGUGCGGGAUGACGGCCUUCGGGUUGUAAACCGAUUUCGCCGGUGACGAGGCGUGAGUGACGGUAAUGGGUAAAGAAGCACCGGCUAACUACGUG
This 468-nucleotide ribosomal RNA is filed under the name uncultured bacterium. Its description in RNAcentral is "partial 16S ribosomal RNA". It matches the Rfam family "Bacterial small subunit ribosomal RNA", at positions 28 to 507 of the family's 1533-position model. The record is from RNAcentral.